GUGUGAAUGCAACUUUAAAAUCAAAAAUUUCACUGGACAACUGUUGUAGUAACUAAUUUAAAGCCUGUCUGCAUAUUUCUGCCUUUUGUGAAUCCCAAGAGUGUUGGUUCUCAGUGACUUGUUUUGUUCUUGGUGUCUGAGGUAAUAUUUAUUCUAGCUAUAAGAUGCAAAGUUGUCCAUUCAUAGAUGCCAUUUGCUGCCCUUAAUUAUAUUUUUUGGCAAAAUAGACACCACUUUAUUUACUGA
Long non-coding RNA from Meriones unguiculatus (Mongolian gerbil), 246 nucleotides. RefSeq lists it as uncharacterized. NCBI's taxonomy places the organism in Eukaryota, Metazoa, Chordata, Mammalia, Rodentia, Muridae. The record is from RefSeq and is a predicted model, not a curated record. The transcript is spliced from 2 exons.